Xiphophorus hellerii (green swordtail) is the source of this 452-nucleotide long non-coding RNA. RefSeq lists it as uncharacterized. The record is from RefSeq and is a predicted model, not a curated record. The transcript has 3 exons. Lineage: Eukaryota; Metazoa; Chordata; Actinopteri; Cyprinodontiformes; Poeciliidae.
AAUCUCAACAGCGCACCGUUUUCUUCCGCCACAAAACUCUCUCCCCGCGCUGCUGUUCCGAUCUCAAGUCAAAAUGCCCAAAAAUGCUUUCUGAUUGGUUGCUUCGGAAAUGUGGUGCACUUGGAGGAACUCGGAAAAAUGGCUUUCAUGUUGCAUUCGUUCACUUUUUGGUCAUAAAACAACUACUGAUUGCACUCAACAUGCGUAAAAUGCGCACUACGCUAUGGCUAAAAUGAUCGAUCAUAUUCCUGGUUUUAUUUGGAAGUAAAUAUAAAACAAAAUCAAUAUAAAAACACUACUUUUACAAAGUUUGAAGUCUCUACUGUCCAACAGAAAUGAAAUGCACACUUCUCAUGGCGUCUUUUUUUUAUACAGAAGUCUUUUAAAUGCAUGACGUCAUGCCCGCCACAGGGCGGGCGUCGACCUCAAAAGGUUAAGGAGUGAUUUUACUC